UGUUAGCACAGUAGACACUUCUUCUGGACUACGCUUCGCAUACCCGGUGGUACAUGCAAAUGCUGAAGAUACCAUUUAAGGUUUGGAACUGAAGAUUCUGUACCAGUUUGGACAGUCAAGUUACAUCUCCAACCAGGGGACAUGCUUUACAGACCAUGGUGUUCCACGGUGGGCCGAGAAACAUCCCAUCAGAUGGAUGCACAGUGUUGCAUGUCACUCUCAGAGCAAUGGUUUAAUAGGAAAUUGGAGUGGGCUUUGGGAACAUUGGCUGUCUAAAAUGGGAGAUAAAGGCACGAGGGGCUGGCUUACAUGCCUUCAAGAGCGGGUGCCCACACUCAACGGGAGGCAGGUAAGGGAGGGUAGAUUCCUCUGCUUCUCCAGGGAUCUGGGGAAGGGGUUCUGGGAGAGGUUGCUAGUGCACUGUUCUGUGCUUCCCCACAUCACCACAACUUUGUUUUUUCCUAACCAAUCCAAUGAUUCCAGGAACAGAGCUGCUUCUGAGGGUGCCAGAAGCAGUGUACUUUACUAAGCAAGAAAAUGUAACCAUACCCCUAAAUCUUUAUGCCGUAAUUCCUAAGCGCCUGCUGAGGUGAAUGGUGCCUUGACCCCAGGUAGCCAGGUCAGAGCUGAUAGCACAGCGAUCGCUUUUCUGUGAGGAAUCCGCAUUUGAUACCAAGGAGCCCGCUGCACGAAGAUGCCCUCCUCUUACUCUGCUCUCUUCCACACGUGCUGCCGUCUGCCCUGAAUUCUUGCUCCCCUGGGAUCGUCCUCACCACUGCAACCACAGUGCAGACAGUGUUUAGCUCCGUCCUGCACCUGAGCUAAGAGGCGGGCGAGGAGGCAGAGGAGCUGGCACUGCUGUGGGGCUGGGUAGCUGAGGACUGGUCCAGGGAGGGGCUGGCUGGUCCUCUGGGGCCUGAAGGUGGGUCGGAUUGAAAAGGAAUGGCAGGGGCAGGGCCAGAGCCUGGAAGAGUCCCGUGUGACUGCUGCGGAGGGGACUCGGGCAGUGACCAGCUUCACCUGCACCUGUGGCUGCCAGCACACCUCCGGGCCCCGUCAUGUGGCCUCUCUGACAAGAUGUUUUCAGAGGCUUUAAAAGAAAGAAAGAAAAUGCUAUUGUAAUUCUCUUCCCGGUUUACUAAAUAACCUGCAUGUAACCCAUAGAGUGUAACAAAGCAAACCCACUUCUCCCUCUCCCUGAAUUGGGUGGGGACUUGGCCCAUCCCCACUGCUGUGUAGUCACUGCUUGCCUUAUGGCUCCCCCAUGCUCGGUGGGAUAGAUGGACUUCAGUCUAGGCUGUUUCCUCUCUCCUGCCUGGCUUCUGGGGGGCCUGUGUGGCUGCCCUCCUGAUCACAGCUGGGUUGGGCUGGGGCUCCUGCAUACAGGGACAGGGAUGUCUGUCCCUAGCCCUGGCCAGGACCCAGGCACGGCUUUCUUAACCUCACCUGCCGGGACUGCACAGCCCCGAGGUGACCCAGCUUCCAGUUCCACUGACAGCUUGAGGUUUCCAUAUCCUAUCUUCUUUGGCCCUCUACUUGCCUGCUGGAAACACUCCACUUAAAACUUCAGGGUAUCUGAAAAUGCAGGGUUUAAUACAUCCAGAUUAUGGCUAAGGACCACUGGUAUUGAAUGAUUGUGUGUGUGUGGCAGAGGGGAGAGGGGAGAGGGGAGAGGGAGAAGAGAGAGCAUAAGCUAGCAGGAGAGCCCUUUAACAGGUUUAUCCAGUUUUCCCAGCAUAAUUUGUCAAAGAUUCUAUCCUUUCCCCAUUCCUAUUUACACUUGGGUCCUUAGUCGUUGGUUGUCUAUGCUUAUUUCUGGGCUCUCUCUCUUCUGUUCUGUUGCACUACAUGUGUAUCAUUAUGCCAGGACCAUACUGAUUUAGUUACUAUAACUUGUAAUAUAGUUUGCAGUCAGAAAGUGUGAUUCCCCCCAUUUUGUUCUUUCUCAAGAUUGUUUAGUGCUUCUGGGUAUUUUGUGGUUCCAUCUGAAUGUUAGGGGUUUUUAAAAAUAUUUUCGUAUAAUAAUCAUUGUGGUAAUUAUGGGGACAACAUUGAAUCUGCUGAUCACUUUAGGUCAGAUGCCCCAAGGCGCAAGUAACAAACAA
Molecule: long non-coding RNA, 2105 nt
Organism: Manis pentadactyla (Chinese pangolin)
Lineage: Eukaryota; Metazoa; Chordata; Mammalia; Pholidota; Manidae
Exons: 2
Source: RefSeq, a predicted model, not a curated record